UUUUAAGCAUAUCACUCAGUGGAGGAAUCCCAAGCAACCGCGAUUGCUACAGUAACGGCGAGUGAACUGGCAAGGCUUCAUGGCUCGACCCGAAGGGGACUGCGAUCAACCCCGCCACUGCUUCGGCAGGGAGCGGCCGGCUGCUGAUUUGUCUCGGAAGGCUGUGGGUUACGGAGCGGAUGGCGAGUCUGUGAGCGGGAUGCGAUGCCUGGAAUGGCCCUGGAAUGGCUUACGACGCAGGGCUACCGUCCCGUACAACCGGCAGAGCGUGUCGCGUCCCCUCACGGCUUGCUGUCUGUAUCCACGAGUAGAGCGGCUUGGGACUGCAGUUUGAAGCGCGGGGUGUAUCCCCCGCAAGGAGCAAUACCACCGUGGGACCGAUAGCGCACAAGUAGAGUGAUUGAAGGAUGCAAAGAACUUUGCAAAGAGGGUUCAAAGUCCCUGAAGCCUCGGCAGGAACGGCGGUGUGCGGGGCCGUGGACCCCUGAUCCACGAGUGAUGUGUCCCAAGCGGCCUCGGGCCGGCCCGGUGCGAGCCAUUGAGCCCAUCCCCCCGGGGGUGGAUGCAGUCGUGGUGGCACCGCGGUGGCAGUCCGCCUGUCAGGGCCCGAGGCUAUGCUUUCCGUAUGGAGAAGUCUGUGACCCGAUCCCCGUGUCCCCCCCGCGGGGCCGGGGAGRAGGCGAAGUCGAUGCUGUGCAACGAACCCUGGCGCGUCUUCGGGCGAGCCAGUCACCGUCACCCGGUCACGGCGGGGCCGGCGCGGGCCGGGGUCUGCACCCACUCGCUGGGUGGACCCCGACCCGAAGCUGCGUGCUCCCCGGACGGCGUGCGGUGAAGUCCAAGGCAGCCGAGCUUGGUGACAGCGGCACCGCUCUCUGCCCGUCUUGAAACACGGACCAAGGAGUCUAUGGAGCUUGCGGGCCGGCCGGUGUUGAGCAUGGCAACCCGGUCCAAGGCCACGGUGAAAGCAACACAGCCCCGAUGUGCGCAUACUGCAAGGGCCACCGGUCCCGAUGUCCAGUGGACUGGGUUUUGAGUGAAUGCAAGGUCCAUGGGACCCGAAAGGUGGUGAACUAUACCGUUCCACGACGAAGCCAUGGGAAACCGUGGUGGAGGUCGGUCGCUGUUCUGACGUGCAAAUUGUGUAGCCCGAGCGCGGCAUGGGGGUGAAAGGCCAAUCGAACCACCUAGUAGCUGGUUUCCCUCGAAGUUUCCCUCAGGAUAGCUGGGCCCGGAGUGCAACCCGGCCGAGUGGUUCCGUCCGGUAAAGCAACGCAUGAGAGGCUUCCGCGGGGGACUCUUGUCCCUCGACCUAUUCUCGAACUGUGAAUGGGCGUGGCAAACCCAAACCGACAAAGGCGUGCUUCUUCACCCGGUCCGGAGUCCGGGGGUGUCCCCCUCGGUCCUCCUGGAAUUGUGAGCGUGUUCGUGGCGGCCCGAGUCUGUGUGCAACGUCCCGAGGCGCGGUGCCCCGGGCGGCGCGGUGCGCGUGUCCCCCCCGCGGGGCCGUGCUAUGCGACCGCCUCAACGGCCCGCCCUCCAAGUCCCUAGGUGCAUUGCGAUGUGACCCGACUGGAUUCGAUGUGCGCAUAGCUGCCGCCGUGGUGAACAAGGCGGGCCUACGUGGGCCAAGAUUGGUAAGCAGUGCUGGCGAUGCGGGGUGCUCCGAGAGUGGACUUCCAGAACCCGAGUGCUGACUCAUACUCAGAUCCCACAAAGGGUGUCGUCUGCUAUGGAUAGCAGGUCGGUGGCCAUGAAGGUUGGAACCCGCUAAGGAAUGUGUAACAACUCACCUGCCGAAGUGUGCGGUCCCGAAAAUGGAUGGUGCCCAAGUCAGUGAAGCCGAAUUCGCCUCACAGUCCGCCGCCGCUGUGGCAGCGCUGAGAGCAGAGCAUCGUUGUGUAGAAAGGACGCGGGGAUUGCGGCGCCCGCCGGGGGUGACCCCGGCCGGAGCGAUCCCCGGCGCAGAUCUUGGUUGUAGUAGCGAGUACUCCAUCUGACAAGGGGCGGAAAGCCCGCCGUGCGUGGUUGAGGACUGGAGUGGAGAAGGUUUCCGCACCAAACAGCCGUUGAAUGCGGGUCAACCGACCGUGAGCCAAGUGGUAAGUCACCGAACAACCAAAGCCGCCGAUCAUCACCUCCCUGCCGUAGUCCCUUGGGGGUUGAGACCCCGGCGCGGUCGCUCCACGGAGCCAAGGCCCCCGACCGCCCGGCCCCUCGGGAGCGGUAUGUCCCUGGCGGGAGUGGCGAACAGGCAAGCGCGGGUUGCAACAUUCCGCUGUGUCGGGCCCGGGGCCCAWGAGCUAUGCUAUCCGAACGGUGGUGACGCCGAGUGACCAGAGCAAGCAGGCUGCGGGGCGGUGCACCCCCCGGGGAGUUCUCGUUUCCUCCUGAUGCGAUCCAUGUGGGCUAGCAAACCCGGCGUGCCAGAUGGUGACCUACGCCCCCCGUCCAGCAAGGCAGAGCACCUCGUGUGCGCUGGGGGACUUCUCCGGAUGGACAGACCCAAGACCCCGGACUCCGGUGGUCACCGGCUCCACUGAACCGCCUGCGGGGACACCGUGCCCCUGGUCCCUUGACGUCGUACCGAAUCACCGCAGCCGGUCUCCCCGGCUUGACGCCGCUGGUCGAACGGAUUGAAUGCAGCUAAGGGAAGUCGGCAAACUAGCCGUGUACCUUCGGAAGAUGCGGUGGCUCCAGAGUCCAAGAUGCCGGGCCUYGCCCGCGGACGGUCGCUCCCGGUGGGGGACCCGGCUGUGCUCCCGCCCGGCUUCGGCUGGGAUCCGGGGUGCGGUCGGCCCUCGCCGGGCGCCGGCUCGCGGGRAGGGGACUUCGGUCCCACCCCGGUGUCUAUGCGAGUGGACACCAUGGAACUGUUGCUGUGCAGGGGAAUCUGACUGUUUAAUUGAAACCCAGCUUUGUGACGGGUCCGGCUGGCCGGUCCCAUGAGGUGACUUCUGCCCAGUGCUCUGAUUGUCAUGGCGAAGAGAUCCAGCCAAGCGCGGGUAAACGGCGGGAGUAACUAUGACUCUCUUAAGGUAGCCAAAUGCCUCGUCAACCAAUUAUUGACGCGCAUGAAUGGAUCAACGAGAUUCCUGCUGUCCCUAGGUGCUGUCCGGUGAACCCACAGCCAAGGGAACGGGCUUGGAUGUGCCAGCGGGGAAAGAAGAGCCUGUUGAGA
This 3181-nucleotide ribosomal RNA is filed under the name Phacus segretii. RNAcentral's name for it is "partial large subunit ribosomal RNA". It matches the Rfam family "Eukaryotic large subunit ribosomal RNA", at positions 32 to 2422 of the family's 3401-position model. The record is from RNAcentral. Lineage: Eukaryota; Euglenozoa; Euglenophyceae; Euglenales; Phacaceae.